CAAUAGCGUAUAUUAAAGUUGUUGCAGUUAAAAAGCUCGUAGUUGGAUUUCUGGUGGGAGCGAUCGGUCUGGCGCUUAGCGCGAGUACUUGCAUCGUCUCCGGCCAUCCUUGGGGAGAGUCUGUCUGGCAUUAGGUUGUCGGGCAGAGGAUCCUCAUCGUUUACUGUGAAAAAAUUAGAGUGUUCAAAGCAGGCUUAUGCCGUUGAAUAUGUUAGCAUGGAAUAAUAAGAUAGGACUUUGGUACUAUUUUGUUGGUUUGCGCACCAAAGUAAUGACUAAUAGGGACAGUUGGGGGUAUUCGUAUUCCGUUGUCAGAGGUGAAAUUCUUGGAUUUACGGAAGACGAACUACUGCGAAAGCAUUUACCAAGGAUGUUUUCAUUAA
RNAcentral lists this ribosomal RNA (383 nucleotides) under uncultured eukaryote. RNAcentral's name for it is "partial 18S ribosomal RNA". It matches the Rfam family "Eukaryotic small subunit ribosomal RNA", at positions 592 to 976 of the family's 1831-position model. The record is from RNAcentral.